RNAcentral lists this unclassified non-coding RNA (1691 nucleotides) under Hevea brasiliensis (rubber tree). The record is from RNAcentral. Lineage: Eukaryota; Viridiplantae; Streptophyta; Magnoliopsida; Malpighiales; Euphorbiaceae.
AAAAAAAAAAAAAAAAAAAAACGACAAAUACUAGUAACAGUCUGCUGCCCUUCUUUUAACAUGAACUUUCAUUACUGUAAAUUGGCGUUCCUUUCAAGACACCAUCCAACUUGAUCCUGGCAUCUUGAAAAUCUAACCACCACUUUAGAGACAAAUAUUUACCUUUCUUUUCAAGCUCAUUGGAUAAUCCACCAACCACCAUCUUGUUGACUUGUUAUCCAGGCCUAAGCAUGUAACUUGCCCAUAAACAAGUUAUACAGGAAAUCCUUUGGGUCGACAAGGCUGAAUAAUUAAACUAUUAAUAGGGAAUGAGGUAACAACAAAAAAUUACAAUAUUUGCACUUCAGAGACCCACCCUACUUCUUUCUGAGAGAGGCAGUGUUUAUUCUUCAGAUUUUGGUAACAUGAGAUCUGAAACCAAGACAUAAUUGUACCACUCCAGCCAGGAGCUUGUCUGAGAGACAAUAACAAUGCGUGGCUUUUGAGAGAUGCAUGGAAGAAAUUUAAAUACCAGAUAAGAACUAGAGCUAAGAAUUAGAUUCACAAAAAUCAUUGGAAUCCUACGCAUGCCGUGAGCCCCAAGUUGCAGGUUAUGAAACUACGUCUCAAAAAUCUCCAGAUCAAACCAAAAGUAUAUUUUGGGAAGAAAGACAUAUUUAGUACAAGUGGCAAAAAAUGUAAGAAUAUGGUCUUACAGUGCCUCUAGACAAUUGAGUUCCCUAGAAUAGUAAUUUAGCAAGCAUUAAGAAAACAGAAGUAAGAGCCAACCCUUAAAAUUUGACAUGCAUACCUUAUACGAGGUCAUACUUGACAAUACAAUGUAAAAAUGGAAUAAAAGACUAUGAGAAAGAACUAAUCAACUAAAAAUAAUUUUUCUAAAAAGACAAAAGGUGUGAACUGGAAACAGGUUUAGCAGCCAACAAUCCAAGGGUUCAGGUUAUGGUAAAUAAUCACACUGGGAACAGGUAAUGUCCAAUUUGUAUCUUACGUCAGACCUAGCUAGCUUGGAAGUUAUAAAAAUUGACACUUGAAAGCAUACCAAAAUCAUGAAAAUCAUUGAACAAAGGUUGUAGAAGGAUCCAGAAAAUUAGAGGAAAGGAAAGAGCAGAAACCAGAUUUACCUUUCAAGAAUUUGGUAUGGAUCCACAACAAGUUCAAGUUUCCCAUCAAUCCAUAAGGAAAAGCGAGCAUUUGGAAACAUCCUAUGCACUAGAAGCUUUGGUACCUGUCAUUGGCAUAACUUGGGUCAAAAGGCAUAUUUAAUUGCUAUCUUGUGUCCCUAAAUUUAAAAAGAUUCUGAGGGAACUCAUAUGAAAUCAGUUUAUUAAAGAAACUGAAUACUAUUUACUUUCAAAUGUCAUCUUAAUGUUUCUCGAGGUUGCCACACGCGUGUGCGCACACACACACACAUAAUAGAAAGAAUCAACUAUAGGAAUCUUCCCAUCCAUGUUAUAGAGCAUUGGUCAAGAAAAUGGAAUCUAACCAUUAAAGCUACCGUAUCACAUUCCAAAAAACUAGAUAAACAAUAAGCUAUAGCCUGCAGCCUGGAUCAAAUUUUAAAAAAGAAAGCUCACUAAAAUCUAGAACAUUUACUUUCCCAUUGCGUCUCCCAUCUUUGUAAGGAAGAUUACGAACAACAACAAUUCUCCAAAUCCCAAUCUUCCGGCUGCUGUCUAGACCACUAUUCUUCU